GUGCCAGCCGCCGCGGUAAUACGUAGGGAGCGAGCGUUGUCCGGAAUUACUGGGUGUAAAGGGUGCGUAGGCGGGACAGCAAGUCAGGCGUGAAAUACCGGGGCUUAACUUCGGGGCUGCGCUUGAAACUGUUGUUCUUGAGUGAAGUAGAGGCAGGCGGAAUUCCUAGUGUAGCGGUGAAAUGCGUAGAUAUUAGGAGGAACACCAGUGGCGAAGGCGGCCUGCUGGGCUUUAACUGACGCUGAGGCACGAAAGCAUGGGGAGCAAACAGGAUUAGAUACCCUGGUAGUCCAUGCCGUAAACGAUGAUAGCUAGGUGUGGGGGGACUGACCCCUUCCGUGCCGGAGUUAACACAAUAAGCUAUCCACCUGGGGAGUACGACCGCAAGGUUAAAACUCAAAUAAAUUGACGG
RNAcentral lists this ribosomal RNA (412 nucleotides) under uncultured bacterium. RNAcentral's name for it is "bacterial SSU rRNA". It matches the Rfam family "Bacterial small subunit ribosomal RNA", at positions 505 to 916 of the family's 1533-position model. The record is from RNAcentral.